Molecule: non-coding RNA, 133 nt
Filed under: Clostridium sp.
Lineage: Bacteria; Bacillati; Bacillota; Clostridia; Eubacteriales; Clostridiaceae
Description: FMN sequence
Rfam family: FMN riboswitch aptamer (RFN element)
About the family: The RFN element is a highly conserved domain that is found frequently in the 5'-untranslated regions of prokaryotic mRNAs that encode for flavin mononucleotide (FMN) biosynthesis and transport proteins.
Source: RNAcentral
AGUCUGUUUCAGGGCGAGGUGUAAUUCCUCACUGGCGGUAAUGGGCACAACAGCCACGAGUCCGCGAGCCAUUUUUGGCAGAUUGGGUCAGAUCCCCAAACCAACGGUAAAGUCCGGUAUGAAGAAACGGUGU